GCACUUUUUUCUAUGAUAUAAUUAGUAGAAGGAAAAAUAGUCAGUGGUGAAACAAAACGACAUGUGAUAAAGAGCAGGCUAUACCGACUGACUAUGCGCGUUAUGAAAACAAUAAACAGGUGUAUUAUAUGCCAGGCAGACUAGUAAAAUGGUGAGCAUAACAUCUGAUUAACUAGGUGAAUAUUAAAAACAAGAAUAAACAAUCAGAUUGUAUGCUAGACAGAUCAGGAAAACAUUUAAGCAUUGCAGUUAGGCCACCAAUACCCCAUACUCCCUGUCGUGAUUGCCCUGUAGUGGAGGUUGUGCCAGACGCUGGUGCGAUUUCUCUCAAAAACUGGUAAAUAUCUUGUCCAGGCGUUGUAGGGCAGUGUCCACAUAGUUACCGCUUAGUUGCUGAGGUGUGGGCCCUGAGGACCGGGGCCAGCCCGCCAUUUUGUUGGGCCUGGCGUUCUCUGGGCUGGCGUCGUGAUGGGCGACAGGAUGCAAAGUAGCCAUGUGCUUUGAGUCGGUGGAGACUGGGAUAACCUCCGCCGGGGAUCCACACUGGCGUGUACAGCAAGAUACAGCGGUCGGGGAGCGGCCGUCUCCCACGCGCCGUCCAUGCUGAUAGGCCGCGAGAUCAGAUUAGGUGAGGCUGGUGAGUAACCCCGCUUAUGUGGUACCCUCGUGUAGGUCUCC
This is a non-coding RNA of Pelobates cultripes (western spadefoot toad), 678 nucleotides long. The record is from the annotation of a GenBank genome assembly. NCBI's taxonomy places the organism in Eukaryota, Metazoa, Chordata, Amphibia, Anura, Pelobatidae.